UACAGAGGGGGCAAGCGUUGUUCGGAAUUACUGGGCGUAAAGCGUGCGCAGGCGGUUGUGCAAGACAGAUGUGAAAUCCCCGGGCUCAACCUGGGAAUUGCAUUUGUGACUGCACGGCUAGAGUGUGUCAGAGGGGGGUAGAAUUCCACGUGUAGCAGUGAAAUGCGUAGAGAUGUGGAGGAAUACCGAUGGCGAAGGCAGCCCCCUGGGAUAACACUGACGCUCAUGCACGAAAGCGUGGGGAGCAAACAGG
This 253-nucleotide ribosomal RNA is filed under the name uncultured bacterium. RNAcentral's name for it is "partial 16S ribosomal RNA". It matches the Rfam family "Bacterial small subunit ribosomal RNA", at positions 524 to 776 of the family's 1533-position model. The record is from RNAcentral.